RNAcentral lists this unclassified non-coding RNA (347 nucleotides) under soil metagenome. Its description in RNAcentral is "partial contains 5.8S ribosomal RNA, internal transcribed spacer 2, and large subunit ribosomal RNA". The stretch from base 1 to 121 matches the Rfam family "5.8S ribosomal RNA", at positions 35 to 154 of the family's 154-position model. The record is from RNAcentral.
GAUGAAGAACGCAGCGAAAUGCGAUAAGUAAUGCGAAUUGCAGAAUUUCCGUGAGUCAUCGAAUCUUUGAACGCACAUUGCGCCCAUUGGCAUUCCGAUGGGCAUGCCUGUUCGAGCGUCAUUAUCCUCCCUCAAACCUCGGGUUUGGUGUUGGACCCAAGUUGUGCGAUGAACAACUGGUCUUAAAGACAAUGACGGCGUCCGUGGGACCCUCGAUGCAACGAGCUUUAAGGAGCACGCAUCGAGUUUUAAAAGGACCCUCCGGGCCGAUCUACCUCUCUUUCUCAGGUUGACCUCGGAUCAGGUAGGAAUACCCGCUGAACUUAAGCAUAUCAAUAAGCGGAGGA